GAUGAACGCUGGCGGCGUGCCUAAUACAUGCAAGUCGAGCGAACAGAUAAGGAGCUUGCUCCUUUGACGUUAGCGGCGGACGGGUGAGUAACACGUGGGUAACCUACCUAUAAGACUGGUAUAACUCCGGGAAACCGGGGCUAAUGCCGGAUAACAUUUAGAACCGCAUGGUUCUAAAGUGAAAGAUGGUUUUGCUAUCACUUAUAGAUGGACCCGCGCCGUAUUAGCUAGUUGGUAGGGUAACGGCCUACCAAGGCAACGAUACGUAGACGACCUGAGAGGGUGAUCGGCCACACGGGAACUGGGACACGGUCCAGACUCCUACGAGAGGCAGCAGUAGGGAAUCUGACGCAGUGGGCGAAAGCCUGACGGAGCAACGGCGCGUGAGUGAUGAAGGUCUUCGGAGCGUAAUACUCUGUUAUUAGGGAAGAACAGAUGUGUAAGUAACUGUGCACGUCUUGACGGUACCUAAUCAGAAAGCCACGGCUAACUACGUG
This 497-nucleotide ribosomal RNA is filed under the name uncultured bacterium. Its description in RNAcentral is "partial 16S ribosomal RNA". It matches the Rfam family "Bacterial small subunit ribosomal RNA", at positions 28 to 507 of the family's 1533-position model. The record is from RNAcentral.